RNAcentral lists this unclassified non-coding RNA (292 nucleotides) under fungal sp. RNAcentral describes it as "partial internal transcribed spacer region". The stretch from base 1 to 46 matches the Rfam family "Eukaryotic small subunit ribosomal RNA", at positions 1786 to 1831 of the family's 1831-position model. The record is from RNAcentral. Lineage: Eukaryota; Fungi.
AAGUCGUAACAAGGUUUCCGUAGGUGAACCUGCGGAAGGAUCAUUAAUGAAUGAUAAUUUUUUGGGGUUUUCCCUGAAAAAUAAUUCACCUUUUGUGCAUUGUUAUAAGAUAUACUUUGGUUAGAGCUUUGAUUUCAUUUAUUGGAAUCAACUUCUUGCUGACUCUAUCCUAUUGAAUGGGACAGUUGGCUAUGAAGCGGCCUACCAAGGUUUUUUAUCAAACACAUUUAAUCCAACUGACCUAAAACAAACAAUUAAAUCAUAACUUUCAACAACGGAUCUCUUGGCUCUC